Molecule: long non-coding RNA, 598 nt
Organism: Hemicordylus capensis (graceful crag lizard)
Lineage: Eukaryota; Metazoa; Chordata; Lepidosauria; Squamata; Cordylidae
Exons: 3
Source: RefSeq, a predicted model, not a curated record
UUCUAGUGCAUUUAUAAAAUGCAAACAGUAGCCUAGGAAACAGAACACCCCAUUGUCUUAGCCCUGAAACAAUAGGAUAUGGAACACAGGUUUUAUCUUGCAGUCAAGCACUGCUGCUUCCUCCCAUUCUGCACUGUUUUGCCAUUGCUACAACUCUGGGAGAUGGUGCCAUCUAUAAAGCUCUUCCUGGAAUGUGAUCCAUGAUAUGAGUCUACAGUCCUCUGUGUUGGAGAUGGGAGUUCCAGUGCUUCAAGCUUUUGCACCAACUAUCCUAAGGACCACAAGGGGCAUUGGGAGCAGAGGGCAUUAAAAAGGAUGAAGAGUGCAGCACUAAAAUUUCAACUCAGAGCUAAAGUGAGUUUAAGCUGGAGCAACGAUUUCACUUUUAUUUGAUCAGCUACAGAGUGUAUGCUGCUUAUAUUCUAGCAAACAGUCACAGAUGCAACAACAAUUUUGAAGGAAGAAAGGGACAGGAGAAAUGGGAGCUUUCCCAAAGGAAAUGAUUGAGACAGGUGCUUAAAAUUUCUCCCAAGCAGGAAAAAAAAAUGAAAUGGGCUGAGUAUUGGGGCUGAUUCAAAUGUUAACCUCUUUGGGGUCA